Balaenoptera ricei (Rice's whale) is the source of this 9347-nucleotide long non-coding RNA. RefSeq lists it as uncharacterized. NCBI's taxonomy places the organism in Eukaryota, Metazoa, Chordata, Mammalia, Artiodactyla, Balaenopteridae. The transcript has 4 exons. The record is from RefSeq and is a predicted model, not a curated record.
UUAUUUGACUGUGCCAGGUCUUAGUUGUGGCACGUGGGAUCUUCAUUGCCGCGUGCAGGAUCUUUAGUUGCGGCAUGCAGGAUCUUAGUUAGACGACCAGGUAUCGAACCCGGGCCCCCUGCACUGGGAGCGCGGAGUCUUAGCCACUGGACCACCAGGUAAGUCCCUGACCUCUUGACAUUAUUACAGUUGGCCGCUCUCCUCCUUGUUACACCUCUCUUGGGACUCAGGGUUCCUCUGAGUUCCCUUUGAUGCCUCCACUUCCUUUGCUGAAGACUCAGUUCUGGGGUCCCUUCUUUUCUGUAUCUAAAUGCUCUUUUAGUCACUGUGGGUCUUCAGCACCUGGAACAUAAUAGGUGUUCAGUGAAGGUCUGUGAAAUAAGAUAAUAGCAUCCGCAUCAUAGGAUUAUUGCGUGAAAAGUGGACCAAGAAUGAAUAAUAAAGUAGUGGCAACUUUUAAUUGAGUGCUUACUAUGUGCUAAGCUCUUUUCUUGUAUUAUCUCACUGAGUCUUCCCAACAGUCCUUUGCACUAGGAAUUCCUAUUAUUACCAUUCUUUAGAAGAGGAAGUUGAAGCUUAGACAAAUGACUUGCCUAAGUUCACACAGAUAAUAAGUGGACAGGGAAUUCCCUGGCGGUCCAGUGGUUAGGACUCGGUGCUUUCACUGCUGAGGGCGCGGGUUCAAUCCCUGGUCAGGGAACCUUAGUUCCUGCAAGCUUCAUGGCUCAGCCAAAAAAAUAAAAAUAAAAACCUUUAAAAAAAAAUAAGUGGAUGAACCCAUCCUCACUUUGGUCUUUCUGACUCAAAGUCAAUUCUCAGAAUCACUAAAUUGAGAUCAUAUGUAGGAAAGUGCUUUGUAAACAGCAAAAGACGAUGUUACUACAGUACAUAGCAGCACACAGCAUGGCAACUUGCACAUAGUAGGUGCCCAUGAGUGUUUGCUGAAUUGAGGCAGGGUGGGAGGAAGUCCCACACCAAAUAGUACCAUCACCCGAGGAAGGAAGAAGCAAUCUUGAGGACCUCGGAGACUCAAGUCAACCUUCCACCAUACGCUGAAUCUUUUGUGAUGCUCAUCAGCUAAUACAAGACGCGUAAAGUGGGCAUUACCCAGACAUUUGCCCAACAUGGUUUCUAUCUUUCCUCCUUCAGUUAAGUCUCCACAGCUGGAACUGUUGGGUUAAUAAAUGCACAAUCAUUCCAGGGGGCUGGGGCUUGUUUAGCUCCUAAAUCACCUCUGAUUUUAACAGGCCAGAGCGUGCUCCCUGAGGUGGGGAUCUUCUCAGAUUACUAACAGUGGUUUUAGAUGUUUUACUGUGUGUCUGGAGAUAGGAAAGAACCCUAGAAUUAGCCAACUUUUGACCCCUCACUACACUGAAUUCUACAGACAAGGGGUUUAAACCAUAUCUGUUUUUAAAAAUUUUAUUGAAGUAUAGUUGAUUUACUUUUUUUCUUUUUUUAAUUUUAUUGACCAUAUUCCUUGAACAUUCUACCUCCAUAUACUAAAGUUCUAGUGGGAUUCAAUGUAAGGAUCUUCAUUAGGAAGAGUACCAGGAGGGAAGAUACGUCACCUGGUAAUUCCAUCUUCCCCAUCUUCAGCCGGGUUAGUGGUCUUUUCUACAACUUAACCCUUCCUCAUUCUCAGAUGUUUAGUUUGCGUGGAGUUGAGCCCACCCCCAGCUCCUGAGGACAGGAUCCUGAUUGACUGAAGCCAAAGUGUGGCCUUGGUUUGAGGAUAGGCCCUUGACCUAAUUUGGGCCACAGUGCUCCCUGUAGAACACUAAUUAAACUCUGCCUGAAGGAGGAUGGUCCAUCAGGUAAAUGUGGGAAAUGCAGUAAACAAUAUUCCUACUCGGGGAUUCUGUUUUUUUCAGGAACCUCAAUUAUCCCAUCUCUCCCCAGAUUGUUGAAUUACUCCCUCUCAACUAGAUGAUUACUGUGGUUUUAAACAUGCAUAAGUGUCUCAUAUGUUAAAAAAAAGGAAGAAAGAGAAAGAAGGAAAAAGCCUACAUGGAUCCCUCUAGCCCACCACCCUAUCUCCUGUCUUUCUCAGCUACAGAAUUGUCAGUAUUUCCUCUCUCCACUUCUACUCCCCCUUCUAUUCCAUCCCUCCUCCACAGAAAUGACCCUCAGGUCACCCCUACCUCCAUGUCGAAAAGCGCAUGGACGUGUUUCAAUCGUCAGCUCCUUUGACUCCGCAGGAGUACUUGACACUAUUGGUCACUUCUUCCUCCUUAAAGCACUCUGGUCCACGGGCUUCCAUGACAUCGCGUGACUCUCCUGGUCUCAGUCCUACCUCUCUGACUGCUCCUUCUCCGUUCUUUGCAGACUUAUCCUCUUCUACGCAACCCCUAAAUGAUGGGGUUCUCUCCUCCUCUGACUUUGCGGCUUCUCCUUAGACAAUUUCAUUGACGCUCACGGCCUCAGUUACCAGCAGGCCUCAGUCACGUCCCCACUCCUGGAGCUGGCAGGGAUGGAGACCCCGUAAUGGGGGAGGGGAGCUGUUUCCCACGUAAUGGGGAGGGGAAGCAGGGUACUAUUCACAAAAGAAGGAGAAAGGGAGGCUGAAGAGCAGAAAAAAAAAAACAGAUGGUCACUACAAGCAUGCAUUCUGGGUAAGCUCAUGCAAAUUAUCAAAACAGGCUCCUUUUGGGUCUCAGAAAUUUCUCAUCAUUGGAACCCUAAGCAGGACUGAGUACAGGCCCCCAAAAUGCUGAUUUCCUCUGUAGACAGAACACUGUGUGGUUUGCAAAGGAGGCAGCCUCGGCUAGGCCACUAAGAUCAACUUUUCCCACCCGCAGCAUCCUGAAAGAACACGUAGCAAGAAGGUGGAGGGAGACAGACCACUAGCACUCCACUUCUUUUAAACACACCCCAUAGAGACACAUAUGUAGAGAACAAACGUAUGGACACCAAGGGGGGAAAGUGGCAGGGCGGUGGUGUGAUGAAUUGGGAGAUUGGGAUUGACAUAUAUACACUAAUAUGUAUAAAAUGGAUAACUAAUAAGAACCUGCUAUAUAAAAUAAAUAAAUAAAAUUCUAAAAUUCAAAAAACAAACAAAAACACACCCCAAAGUCAUCAGUGCCAAGGGGAUGCUUUGUCUGAGGUUAGACAUCCUCUCAGGGCUUUUGUUUUUGCUUUUCUUUUUUUUUUUUUUUAAUUAAUUUAUUUUUAGUUUGGGCUGCAUUGGGUCUUCGUUGCUGCGCACGGGCUUUCUCUAGUUGCGGCGAGUGGGGGCUAUUCUUCGUUGCGGCGCACGGGCUUCUCAUUGCGGUGGCUUCUCUUGUUGCGGAGCAAGGGCUCUAGGCGCGUGGGCUUCAGUCGUUGUGGCUCGCAGGCUCUAGAGCGCAGGCUCAGUAGUUGUGGCACACGGGCUUAGUUGCUCCGUGGCAUGUGGGAUCUUCCCGGACCAAGGUUCGAAUCCCUGUCCCUUGCAUUGGCAGGCGGAUUCUUAACCACUGCGCCACCAGGGAAGUCCUGUUUUUGCUUUUCUAAUAGGUACCUGGGAGAACUCACAGCUGCCUUCUGCUGGACUAGAAGUAUUUGUAUCCUGACCAUCUGCGAGGUCUUGCUCAGAGUUAGAGAACAGCUUCUCAAAUGUGGGCCAGCUGUUGGAGCUUUAAUAUGCAUAUUUGGGAGAAGUCAUAUUUAGUUUAUUAUGCCGGCCGACCAGCUGCCCACUAGGCUUGGGAUGACCUCUACAAUGCAUCUAAGGCUAACCCUUAGACUCAGAAGAAUGGUCACCUCUUCCUUCAUGCAGUAUUUUCUGCCUGUCCCCUCAAAAGCUGAGUUUGGGGCUUCUUUCUUUGUGUUUCCGUGGAAAUGCUGUACUAGGUACACCUUUUCACUUGUAAUUUGCCCCUACUACUCUCUGGGCUCCUUGAGGCAGGGACCAUGAGUCACAUCACAAACAAUUAGGACAGAGCUGGAAUAUGGUGCUCUAUGAAUGAAGCCCAUUGUUCUCUGCAUCUGUGUCUCUGUUUCUGCCCUGCAAACCGGUUCAUCUGUACCAUUUUUCUAGGUUCCACAUAGAUGCGUUAAUAUAUGAUAUUUGUUUUUCUCUUUCUGACUUAACUUCACUCUGUAUGACAGUCUCUAGAUCCAUCCACGUCUCUACAAAUGACCCAAUUUCGUUCCUUUUUAUGGCCUAGUAAUAUUCCAUUGUAUAUAUGUACCACAUCUUUAUCCAUUCGUCUGUCGAUGGGCAUUUAGGUUGCUUCCAUGUCCUGGCUAUUGUAAAUAGUGCUGCAAUGAACAUUGGGGUGCAUGUGUCUUUUUGAAUUAUGGUUUUCUCUGGGUAUGUGCCCAGUAGUGGGAUUGCUGGGUCAUAUGGUAGCUCUAUUUUUAGUUUUUUAAGGAACCUCCGUACUGUUCUCCAUAGUGGCUGUUCCAAUUUACAUUCCCACCAACAGUGUAGGAGGGUUCCCUUUUCUCCACACCCUCUCCAGCAUUUACUGUUUGUAGGUUUUUUAAUGAUGGCCAUUCUGACCUGUGUGAGGUGAUACCUCAUUGUAGUUUUGAUUGACGUUUCUCUAAUUAGUGAUGUUGAGCAUCUUUUCAUGUGCUUUUUGGCCAUCUGUAUGUCUUCUUUGGAGAAAUAUCUAUUUAGGUCUUCUGCCCAUUUCUUGAUUGGGUUAUUUUUUUUUUUUGAUAUUGAGCUGCAUGAGAAGUUUGUAUAUUUUGGAGAUUAAUCUCUUGUCAGUUGCUUAAUUUGAAAAUAUUUUCUCCCAUUCUGAGGGUUGUUUUUUUGUUUUGUUUAUGGUUUCCUUUACUGUGCAAAAGCUUUGAGUUUAAUUAGAUCCCAUUUGUUUAUUUUUGUUUUUAUUUUCAUUCAGCUUUAUUUUUUGUUCAAGUGAACCAUUGGAGUGCAGAGCAUACGAGGACCUUGUUGAGGCUGUUAACGCCUCCGACCAGGCUAGACAUGGUGACCUAUUUAUCUAAGGCAAUCAAUGCCACUGUAGUCAGAAAGACUCCAUAUUUGGGCCAGAAAGGAAAGCAAAGGCCAAAGGCAGAGGAGUGAUGGCAAGUAUUCAGUCUGGUAGGUAAAGUGACUAAGUGGAGAAAAUGAACCACCAAGUCUAAAGGUAGGCACACUGAAGCCAAAUGCACAGGGGAAACGUGCAGGGCAUGGUGGGACGGGUGGUUCAGCACAGAGCAAUGCCAGUCGUGAUGGGACCCAUUUCUAAUAUUCAUCUUGCUACCUUCUUUAUAGCUUAAAACUGCCAGAUAGGAUCAGACAUACUUGGUCUGAGAUCCUGUAAGAUCUGGCCCAGUUUAAAACCUGUAUGAGAAAACUCUGAUCACCAGAGAUAUCUCUCUGUCAGGCAGCAUUGCCUGGACAACUGGCAUGGCAGUUCUGUUAGGCUUUAUCUUGAUGACCUUUUGUUCUCUGCCCCACACUACUCGUGAUUGCUACAGGUAUGUAGCACUGCCAAGCUACAGGGUCACCUUUUCCAUUUCCUCUUCCUGGGCUCAAGCACUGUCUACAUUUCCUAGCCUCCCUUGAGUUAGGUUGUGGUCAUGUGAUGGGGCUGUGACGAAUGGAAUGUGGGAGGAAGUGAAAUGGGCCACCUCCAGGUAUGACCAUCAAAUGCCCCUUGGGACCUACCCCGUACUCUCCCUCUCUCUCUGUUCAUCAGCCAGCCGAAUGCAGAGGCUCCAAGUUGGAGGAAGCCUGUAUUCCAUUCAGGAGAGUCUACUGAAAACAUCCAGUCAGACUGUAUCCUAGGGGGAAAAUAAACCUUUGCUGUAAGCCACUAAGCACUGAAGGUUGUUUCAGCAGCUAGCACUCCCCUGACUAAUACAGGUCUAAAAAGCUACCCAUGAUAGCUUCCAACAUAGCAGAAAAUGAUUGGGAUGAUAAUAUUGAAGCAGGAUUUCCAUGAAUGUGUUAAGGUUCCACAGGUACCUCAAGGUGGAGCCAGUGAAGAUGGACAGAGGUCACAUCACUACAGAAAGACUCCUAGAUUGCAAGCUCCACCAUCAUCUCUAGCGAAGAUCUUCAAAGGAAAGGGUUGUUCUGCGGCCACGGAGGCUGGAACAAUGCCUGGCACACAGAAGGUUCUCCAUGAGUGUCAGCUGAUAGGAACUGAAUCCAAAACCCCAUGCCUACCCUGCCGUGGACAUUUCUCCAGCAGAACUUAUCAUCACAGGGCAUAUUAUACACUUGUUUGUUUGUUUGGCUGUGACACACGGCAUGCGGGAUCUUAGUUCCCCGACCAGGGAUCGAACCGGUGCCCCCUGCAGUGGAAGCGCGGGACCCUAACCACUGGACUACCAGCUCAGGGUCUGGAGUGUCCACACCCCGCAGGGGCUUCUCUGAGAGGCCAGCUGGCUGACAGCCUGGGCAGAGCAACACCUCUUCAGGCCCACCAGGAAUUCCACGGCAUCUCCACAGCAGCCUUGGGAGAGAUGCUGAUGAGUUCUUCCACCAACCAGGGGAAAGCCACGCUUAUAAAAGCUUCCAGGCCUCAGCGAUAAUUUCUCCCCUUUCCACACCCCUCCCCGCUCCCCUGGGCCCUUUCCCAUCUUAGCUCUGUUUCUGCAGGAAGCAGGACAGAAAGGACUUGGUUUGAUGCAAGUGAAGGAGAGAGAGCACAGACUUGGAACUCUCAGGAACUGGCUUUGCAGCCCAGCUGUGCCAAAACAAGUUUGGACAAGUCACUCAACCUCUCAGCCUCAGACAAAUAACAGGAACAGACAAUUAAAGUAGGAAUAAUACUUGUGACCAUUAUUAGUAGUAGAAGUGUAAGGGCUUUGGGGUCAGAGUCCUUUGGGUCAAAUCAUGGAUUCUACCUCUUGACGGUACCUGACUUCACUCCAAGUCUAAGUUUCUCAUUUGUGAAAUGGGAACAAUAAUAAUACCUCAAAGGGAUAUUGGGAGGAUUAAAUGAGAUAAUUAGAUCUAAAGCUCUCUGCAGCAAGGGUACACAGUAAGUGCUCUAUAAAGGUCAGCAACGGUCACUUUAAUUAUAAUUGUGCCUCUUCAUGAGCCCUAUAACAUAUAGUCCAGAUUCCCAACUACACACAGUAGGUGUUAAUGGGUAGCUGUGGAAUGAAUAGAUGAAUGAAUGGAUGGACGAAUGAACAAACUCGCCAUCACUUUUGGUCUGGGACUCUUCUUCAUGCCUAAUCCCCUUUGACCUAAAUGCAAUAGAAAUUUUAGCAGCUUCAAGACUUUCAGUCUUCUUGUUUUUUCAUGACUGGAUGAGGCAGUUUAAAAUAUGUCUGCAACUCUGACACUCCCUUCAGAAGGUGGACCCUAAUUCCCCUCCUUGACUAUGAACUGAACUUAGUGCCUUGCUUCUAACAAAUAGAAUAAAGUAGAAGUGACAGUGCGCAACUUUUAAGACCAGAUCAUAAAAAUCAUGGAGGUCUCCCUCUUGGAUUGCUUGCUCUGGGGGAAGACAGCUGCCAUUUCAUAAGCAUGCUCAAGCAGCUCUGUGGAGGGGUACAUGUGAUAAGGAACUGAGGCCUCUUGCCAACAGCCAUGUGAGUGAGCCAUCACGGAAGCAGAUCCCCUGGCCCCAGUCAAAGAUUUGACUGCAUCCUCAUCAGAGACUCUGAGCAAGGACCACCCAUCUGAGCCUCUCCCAAUUUCCUGACCCAGAAAAACCAUGAGAUAAUAAGUGCUGGGGUUUUUUAAAAAAUAUAUUUAUUUAUUUAUUUGGCUGCAUCAGGUCUUAGUUGCAGCACACAGGAUCUUCAUUGUGGCGUGCUGGAUCUUUAGUUGUGGCGUGUGAACUCUUAGUUGUGGAAUGAGGCAUCUAGUUCCCUGACCAGGGAUCAAACCCGGGCCCCCUGCAUUGGGAGCACAGAGUCUUAGCCACUGGACCACCAGGGAAGUCCCAAUAAGUGCCAUUUUAAGUGGCUAUGUUUGGGGAUAAUUUGUUACAAAGCAACAGAUAAUAAUAUACUUUGUAUGAAUAUUCUUGAUAAAAGUUUGAAACAAAGGCUUUUCUAAUAAUACUUGGCUCAUGGAGACUUCUGACUGUUCAUUCUACAUAGUGUUUUAACACUAUUCAGAAAGCCUGAACCCACACUUUUCUUGUGACAUUACUAUUACUAGACCAUGCCUGUUAACUAAUUAAGGACCCUUCCCUGCCUGGGAUCUCAAGUGGGCUGCAUCCUGACAUCUGUUGUACACCAGCCCUCAGUGGGAUUGGCACCACUGGAUCCCUUGGCUGGGAAGGAAGAGUCAGACUCAGGGAUAAGCAGGCUUCUGUCCUGUCAGUAGCUCAUAUUUGAAAGCAUCAUAUUAUCAAUUUCAGGAGGGUCCAUCUCAGAGAGACUAUUUCCUUACUGACAGCUCCCAUGCUGUUUUAACAGCAGCUAAUCCCUUCACCUUAUUUGGAGACAACUUCAGAACCCUUUCCCUGGCUAGCCAAGUCUCGGCACUUGCUGGAGAGAACUGUCAGAGGCCUUUGCAUCUGGGAAGUCUCUGCCUAAUGUGGAAAAGAUCCUGGAAAGAGUGUCUGUGACUGAUCAGGUUGAGGGCUCAGGGCUGAUAAAGACAAGCCAGCUCUUCUUCUCUCACCAUGAGGAUGUUAGCAGUAGAGCUGUCCUGAGGGCAUGGUCAGUGUGGCUAUGGCAGUCAAGUUCAACAGUCUUUUACUGAGCAACUGCUAUGUGCCACUCACUGUAGACAAGACCAGGACACAAAGAUGAGUAGACAAGGUCCCUGCCCUCAAAGAAUUCACGGUCUAGUUGGGAAGACAGGCAAACCAGUGAAUAAUUUCAACUCAGAGCAGUAAGCAGAGGUUGAUCUGCAUACCAGGUGAACUGGGAGCAGGAGAGAGCAAGGAAGGGUUCGCUCCUUGGACAUGGAGAGGUUAGGACAGAUUCAAGGAAUACCAAGGAAGUAUGAUCAGCCAUGAGCCAAGUAGAGGGGAGAAAAUCGUAUGUUAAGGACUUUGAAGGCUAGGGCAAGGAUUCCUCUGACUUCUUGGUCUUAGCUUCUGAGGGCUGGCAGGAUUUAAUUUAUCCCCUUCCAAUCUCUCUUAGAGUCUAACUGGAUCAUUAACCAUGAAAUCAAAUUUGAAAUUUAAAGGAAGAUCUCCUAAAAAGAGGUAAAAGUAAACUUACACCUGGAUUUUAGCAAGGAUCCUGAGACAAGGGUUGAGUGCAGAUUUCUUAUCAAAUCUGGAAUCUGUUUACUUUGACCAUCUGCAUUGCCCUCAUGCUUGGACUUUUGCAGUAGCCACCUAACUCAUCUCCCCAUUUCUACUCCCUAUCCUAAGUCCAGGCCCUCAUGGCAGCUACAGUGAUCCUUUAAAAUUUUCAGGGACUUUUUCAGGGGGCACGGGUUCAAUCUCUGGUCAGGGAACCAAGAUCCCACAAGCCUCAUGGUG